This 815-nucleotide ribosomal RNA is filed under the name uncultured bacterium. RNAcentral describes it as "bacterial SSU rRNA". It matches the Rfam family "Bacterial small subunit ribosomal RNA", at positions 636 to 1450 of the family's 1533-position model. The record is from RNAcentral.
UNUGACUUGAGUGCAGAAGGGGAGAGUGGAAUUCCAUGUGUAGCGGUGAAAUGCGUAGAUAUAUGGAGGAACACCAGUGGCGAAAGCGGCUCUCUGGUCUGUCACUGACGCUGAGGCUCGAAAGCGUGGGUAGCGAACAGGAUUAGAUACCCUGGUAGUCCACGCCGUAAACGAUGAGUGCUAGGUGUUAGGCCCUUUCCGGGGCUUAGUGCCGGAGUUAACGCAAUAAGCACUCCGCCUGGGGAGUACGACCGCAAGGUUGAAACUCAAAGGAAUUGACGGGGGCCCGCACAAGCGGUGGAGCAUGUGGUUUAAUUCGAAGCAACGCGAAGAACCUUACCAGGUCUUGACAUCCCGAUGCUAUUCUUAGAGAUAGGAAGUUACUUCGGUACAUCGGAGACAGGUGGUGCAUGGUUGUCGUCAGCUCGUGUCGUGAGAUGUUGGGUUAAGUCCCGCAACGAGCGCAACCCUUAUUGUUAGUUGCCAUCAUUAAGUUGGGCACUCUAGCGAGACUGCCGGUAAUAAACCGGAGGAAGGUGGGGAUGACGUCAAAUCAUCAUGCCCCUUAUGACCUGGGCUACACACGUGCUACAAUGGUCGGUACGACGAGUUGCGAGCCGGUGACGGCAAGCUAAUCUCUGAAAGCCGAUCUCAGUUCGGAUUGGAGGCUGCAACUCGCCUCCAUGAAGUCGGAAUCGCUAGUAAUCGCGGAUCAGCACGCCGCGGUGAAUACGUUCCCGGGCCUUGUACACACCGCCCGUCACACCACGAGAGUUUGUAACACCCGAAGUCGGUGAGGUAACCUUUUAGGGGCC